CUUGGGUUGGGGGGGGUCCCUCAGCCCAGAUUGUGAGAGGGCGCAGGUCAGGCCAAGGGACUCCACCAGUGCACA
This 75-nucleotide microRNA precursor is filed under the name Myotis davidii. RNAcentral's name for it is "mir-9193 microRNA precursor family". It matches the Rfam family "mir-9193 microRNA precursor family". The record is from Rfam by way of RNAcentral. Lineage: Eukaryota; Metazoa; Chordata; Mammalia; Chiroptera; Vespertilionidae.